This 254-nucleotide ribosomal RNA is filed under the name uncultured bacterium. RNAcentral describes it as "partial 16S ribosomal RNA". It matches the Rfam family "Bacterial small subunit ribosomal RNA", at positions 524 to 776 of the family's 1533-position model. The record is from RNAcentral.
UACAGAGGUCCCAAGCGUUGUUCGGAUUUACUGGGCGUAAAGAGCGCGCAGGCGGUCGCUCAAGUCGCGUGUGAAAGCCCCCGGCUCAACUGGGGAGGGUCACGCGAUACUGAUCGACUCGAAGGCAGGAGAGGAUAGUGGAAUUCCCGGUGUAGUGGUGAAAUGCGUAGAUAUCGGGAGGAACACCAGUGGCGAAGGCGACUACCUGGCCUGUUUCUUGACGCUGAGGCGCGAAAGCUAGGGGAGCAAACGGG